This 497-nucleotide ribosomal RNA is filed under the name uncultured bacterium. RNAcentral describes it as "partial 16S ribosomal RNA". It matches the Rfam family "Bacterial small subunit ribosomal RNA", at positions 28 to 507 of the family's 1533-position model. The record is from RNAcentral.
GAUGAACGCUGGCGGCGUGCCUAAUACAUGCAAGUCGAGCGAACAGACGAGGAGCUUGCUCCUCUGACGUUAGCGGCGGACGGGUGAGUAACACGUGGAUAACCUACCUAUAAGACUGGGAUAACUUCGGGAAACCGGAGCUAAUACCGGAUAACAUGUUGAACCGCAUGGUUCAACAGUGAAAGACGGUCUUGCUGUCACUUAUAGAUGGAUCCGCGCCGCAUUAGCUAGUUGGUAAGGUAACGGCUUACCAAGGCAACGAUGCGUAGCCGACCUGGGAGGGUGAUCGGCCAAACUGGAACUGAGACACGGGCCAGGCUCUUACGGGAGGCAGCGGUAGGGAAUCGUACGCAAUGGGCGAAAGCUUGACGGAGCAACGCCGCGUGAGUGUAGAAAGUAUUCUGGUCGUAAACCUCUGUUGUUAGGGAAGAACAAAUGUGUAAGUAGCUAUGAACGUCUUGACGGUACCUAAUCAGAAGGCCACGGCUAACUCCGUG